RNAcentral lists this ribosomal RNA (1957 nucleotides) under Elusimicrobiota bacterium. RNAcentral's name for it is "bacterial LSU rRNA". It matches the Rfam family "Bacterial large subunit ribosomal RNA", at positions 1798 to 2913 of the family's 2925-position model. The record is from RNAcentral. Lineage: Bacteria; Pseudomonadati; Elusimicrobiota.
GACUGUUUAUCAAAAACACAGCUCCCUGCGAACUUGUAAAAGUAUGUAUAGGGGGUGACGCCUGACCAAUGCCAGAAGGUUAAGUAUCGGCGGUGUAUGCAUCACACUGCGUGUGAUGCGACAAUUGACAACUAACAUUUAACAAUUGACUGUCGAAUUUUGCUUCGCAAAAUUCGACAAAAGUCACUUGUCACUUGUUGCAGGUCAAAUGUCGCAUCGCGCAUAGCGUGAUGCGUAUGCUGACUGAUAUAAGCCCUGGUGAAUGUCGGCCGUAACUAUAACGGUCCUAAGGUACACAUCAUGAGCAAUCGUGAUGUGUAGGACUGGGACUGUUAUAGAAGAUAAAUAGAACGCGCAAGUUACCUUACUUAUAGAAAUGUAAGUAUAGUCCAAUCAUGAUGAUCAAGAGACCAACGUCAUGGCCCUCACUUUGUCUUUUAUAGAUAGAGAAGGGAUAAGAUAGAGUCCAUGUAGUGUUUAAAAGGAAAACAUGAGCGAAUUUCCUUGUCUGGUAAGUUCAGACGUGCACGAAUGGCGUAACGACUGGGGAACUGUCUCGAGGAGCAGCUCGGUGAAAAUGCGAUACCGGUGAAGAUGCCGGUUACCUACAGCUAGACGAAAAGACCCCAGAAGCUUUACUAUAGCUUGAUAUUGAGGAUGCGUUUUAAUUGCGUAGCAUAGGUGGGAGACUUUGAAGUGUAGAUUUUGGUUUACAUGGAGUCAUCAGUGAAAUACCACUCUGUUCGAAUGUAUUUUCUAACCCGUCGCGGAAAAACCGGAUGGGAACAGUAUCUGGCAGGUAGUUUUAGUGGGGCGCUACCCUCCCAAAAAGUAACGGAGGGGCUUAUUAAGGUUCUCUAGGCGCGAAUGGAAACCGUGCCGAUAGUGUAAUGGCAUAAGAGAGCUUGACUGCAAGACGUAAAUGUCGAGCAGGUGCGAAAGCAGAACAUAGUGAACCGAUGGUCCGUUUUAGAUGCGGCCGGAGAUUAUCUGAUAAAAGCUACUCUGGGGAUAACAGGCUAGUAUCGCCUAAGCGUUCAGAGCGACGGCGAUGUUCGGCACCUCGAUGUCGGCUCAACUUAUCCUGGAGGUGGAGAAGCUUCCAAGGGUUUGGCUGUUCGCCAAUUAAAAAGUUACGCGAGCUGGGUUCAGACCGUCAGGGAACUAAAAUUCCAAACAACAAAGUCCAAAUUACAAACAAAUCUGCCUGCCGGCAGGUUCAAAUACUAAUGUUCAAAUGUUAAAACAACAACUUUGUUUUGUGCAUUUAUAUUUUUGGUUAUUGAGUAUUGUUUGUCAUUUGGUGCUUGAAAUUUGGUAUUUGGUUUUCAGACAGUCUGAACCGAAUUCAUAACGACACAAAAAUCAAGGUCUUUUCGUCUUUUCAAAAAGUAUAGAACCAAUCAAAUUACGGCGGUUGUAUUAAGGAAUUAAUACGACUUUGUUAACUUAUAUCGGUGAAAUCCCCUAAAUCAAAUUUUAAAAAAUUUGAUCGGGCGAACAUUUUUGUUAAAAAUGUUUUAGCCUUAAAUGCUGGGACAAUACCGAGGGAAUCGUGUUGACUUGUUUACAAGAGAACACGUGCCCGUAGAGACUGAAUGUUAGCCUCCUAAAUUACCUUAAGGGUAAUCGGAUGAAGUUACAGUCCAAUGCCACGAGCAAUCGUGGGUAUCAUGCGUAAGACAGGUUGGUCUCCUAUCUGCUGUAGGCGUCGAUUCUUGAGAAGAUCUGCUUCUAGUACGAGAGGACCGAAGUGGACUGACCUCUGGUGUACCUGCUGUCGUGCCAACGGCACCGCAGGGUAGCUAUGUCGGGAAUGGAUAACCUCUGAAAGCAUCUAAGAGGGAAGCCAGCUUUAAGAUAAGGAAUCGUUUGAGACCCCUGGAAGAUGACCAGGUGAUAGGCACUAGGUGGAAGUACAGCAAUGUAUUGAGCCGAGGUGUACUAAUUCGUCGAU